GCCUGCAUAGCUCAAUUGGCAGAGCACCGCUCUUGUAAAGCGGGGGUUAUAUGUUCGAAUCAUAUUGCAGGCA
RNAcentral lists this transfer RNA (73 nucleotides) under Caudoviricetes sp. RNAcentral's name for it is "tRNA-Thr". It matches the Rfam family "tRNA". From Rfam's summary of the family: Transfer RNA (tRNA) molecules are approximately 80 nucleotides in length. Their secondary structure includes four short double-helical elements and three loops (D, anti-codon, and T loops). Further hydrogen bonds mediate the characteristic L-shaped molecular structure. tRNAs have two regions of fundamental functional importance: the anti-codon, which is responsible for specific mRNA codon recognition, and the 3' end, to which the tRNAs corresponding amino acid is attached (by aminoacyl-tRNA synthetases). tRNAs cope with the degeneracy of the genetic code in two manners: having more than one tRNA (with a specific anti-codon) for a particular amino acid; and 'wobble' base-pairing, i.e. permitting non-standard base-pairing at the 3rd anti-codon position. Lineage: Duplodnaviria; Heunggongvirae; Uroviricota; Caudoviricetes. The record is from RNAcentral.